AUCGCUUAAAAAAGGUAACAUCUCGGUUAUGUACGUAAUAGUUAGUCAUAGUUAGUAGUUAGUUAACAGUGAGAAUUAUUGCCUAAACUGAAGUGUGACCAAAAAGGGUUUAUAAACUAAACAUUUCGUUUGACAAAAUAUUCAUCAUCAUAUAGGGAGCACUUCGGAUCAGAAAGAAACUCAGACAAGCACAUCAAUCUCACCCACACACACCACUAUACAACAACAAAACACAGAGACCACAGCGAGCACUUCUAAUCAGAAAGAAACUCAGAGAAGCUCAUCAAUCUCAUCCUCACGCACCACUAUACAACAACAAAAGCCAGAGAACACAGGUAAAAGUGUACUUUACAUUAUAUUUAAUGUUGAUGUUUUUUUUCAUAAAUGUGAAAAAAUACAUGAUAAACAUCUGUUUUGAUCAAAUACUCAUCAAAUAGGGAGCACUUCUAAUCAGAAAGAUAUUCAGACAAGCACUUCAACCUCACACCCACGCACCACUACACAACAACAAAACACAGACACCAAAGGUAAAAG
This 534-nucleotide long non-coding RNA is filed under the name Carassius auratus (goldfish). Its description in RNAcentral is "lncRNA (ENSCARG00000023680.1)". The record is from RNAcentral. Lineage: Eukaryota; Metazoa; Chordata; Actinopteri; Cypriniformes; Cyprinidae.